RNAcentral lists this ribosomal RNA (479 nucleotides) under uncultured bacterium. Its description in RNAcentral is "bacterial SSU rRNA". It matches the Rfam family "Bacterial small subunit ribosomal RNA", at positions 30 to 527 of the family's 1533-position model. The record is from RNAcentral.
AUUGAACGCUGGCGGCAGGCCUAACACAUGCAAGUCGAGCGGUAGAGAGGUGCUUGCAUCUCUUGAGAGCGGCGGACGGGUGAGUAAUGCCUAGGAAUCUGCCUAGUGGUGGGGGAUAACGUUCGGAAACGGACGCUAAUACCGCAUACGUCCUACGGGAGAAAGCGGGGGAUCUUCGGACCUCGCGCCAUUAGAUGAGCCUAGGUCGGAUUAGCUAGUUGGUGAGGUAAUGGCUCACCAAGGCGACGAUCCGUAACUGGUCUGAGAGGAUGAUCAGUCACACUGGAACUGAGACACGGUCCAGACUCCUACGGGAGGCAGCAGUGGGGAAUAUUGGACAAUGGGCGAAAGCCUGAUCCAGCCAUGCCGCGUGUGUGAUGAAGGCCUUAGGGUUGUAAAGCUCUUUUACCCGAGAUGAUAAUGACAGUAUCGGGAGAAUAAGCUCCGGCUAACUCCGUGCCAGCAGCCGCGGUAAAGUG